CGGAGGAACAUGUGGUUUAAUUCGAUGAUACGCGAGGAACCUUACCUGGGCUUAAAUGUAGAGUGCAUUUUUAGAGAUAGAAAUUCCCUUCGGGGCUUUCUGCAAGGUGCUGCAUGGUUGUCGUCAGCUCGUGCCGUGAGGUGUCGGGUUAAGUCCCAUAACGAGCGCAACCCUUAUCGUUAGUUGCCAGCUGGUAAAGCAGGGGACUCUAGCGAAACUGCCACCGUAAGGUGAGAGGAAGGUGGGGAUGACGUCAAAUCAGCACGGCCCUUAUGGGCUGGGCUACACACGUGCUACAAUGGCCGGUACAGAGGGUUGCCAACCCGCGAGGGGGAGCCAAUCUCAGAAAACCGGUCGUAGUCCGGAUCGCAGUCUGCAACUCGACUGCGUGAAGUCGGAAUCGCUAGUAAUCGCGAAUCAGCAUGUCGCGGUGAAUACGUUCCCGGGCCUU
Molecule: ribosomal RNA, 451 nt
Filed under: uncultured Sphingobacteriales bacterium
Lineage: Bacteria; Pseudomonadati; Bacteroidota; Sphingobacteriia; Sphingobacteriales
Description: bacterial SSU rRNA
Rfam family: Bacterial small subunit ribosomal RNA
Source: RNAcentral